This is a long non-coding RNA of Panicum virgatum (switchgrass), 808 nucleotides long. RefSeq lists it as uncharacterized. The record is from RefSeq and is a predicted model, not a curated record. The transcript has 2 exons. NCBI's taxonomy places the organism in Eukaryota, Viridiplantae, Streptophyta, Magnoliopsida, Poales, Poaceae.
GGGCACCGGCGGCCAGCAGCCUUGGCAAGAUUGAGAAUUGGUAGAGAGCGAGAACGGGGGAGAGAAUACAUCUGCUGGCGACAUGAUUAGUCCUGGCUACUGCCUCGCCCUUUCCGUCCUGCUGCUCGCCCUCACCGCUCACCUGCAGCUGCCCCCUGGCUGCGCAGCUGCUAGGGAGUUCCCUGCAGGAACCAGCUCGGCGGCCGCCAAGCCGCAGGCCCCGUUGGCCGUCGGCACCACCGCCCCCGCCGGGUUACAUGGCAAGCACACUACCCCACAAGUGACCGUUCAUGGCCGCACUACCAUAGGAGGUCUGCCAGGAGGCGGUACUGAAGGGCAAUACAAGGACUUGAAGGCCGAGUGCGCAUGCCAAGCAGGGUGCAGGAUCCCAGGAGCUCCAUGCCAAAGGUCUGCGCCCAUUUCGCGGCCGCCUGUGAGUCGAGCAAGUGGUCCUCGAGGCGCUUCCGGUGCCUGGAGUUGGUUCAUAGGGAAAGUCCAUGAUUUUUUUCAUGGUUCUCCACCACGCAUCCCGUGAACCGUCGUCCAUGUCUGCCCCUGCCCGUGCAGGCCGGGACGGAGUUAUAUUACUACCGUGUCUGUGAGCUAUACAUAGCUACCUUGGCAUCCGUGUGUGUCGGCCAUUUGGGAAGGUCCCUGCUGGUUAGCAAGCCUUCAUCGUUGAAUAAAAUGUCUGUAGUAGUAUGCAUUUGUGCUAUGUAAAAGUAAAACAGGGAUGUCGAUCAGCACUGUAUGUAUAGCAUGCAGGCGUGGGAUUUGUCUAUCGAUGCGAUUGGUUUCAGAUGGAUUA